RNAcentral lists this ribosomal RNA (184 nucleotides) under Lacticaseibacillus casei. RNAcentral's name for it is "Lactobacillus casei partial 23S ribosomal RNA". It matches the Rfam family "Bacterial large subunit ribosomal RNA", at positions 2744 to 2925 of the family's 2925-position model. The record is from RNAcentral. Lineage: Bacteria; Bacillati; Bacillota; Bacilli; Lactobacillales; Lactobacillaceae.
GGUAGCUAUGAACGGAAGGGAUAAACGCUGAAAGCAUCUAAGUGUGAAGCCCCCCUCGAGAUGAGAUUUCCCAUUCCUAUAUGGAAGUAAGACCCCUGAGAGAUGAUCAGGUAGAUAGGCUGGAAGUGGAAGUGCAGCGAUGCAUGGAGCGGACCAGUACUAAUCGGUCGAGGACUUAACCAAG